CCUGGAGCAGAAGACCCAGCAUUGAACAGUCAUUCAACAUCCAGGAACACUAACUGAGCACAAGAAAAGCACUGUCCGUGCCCUGGUGAUCCAGCAAAAUCCCCACCCUCGGGACACGUAAAUCGCAAGGAGGGUCGUAGACAACCGACCAGGCCUCAGCUGGGGAGCCUCGCGAUCGCAAACACCUGCCGGUCUGUCCCUAGAGUGCGUCACAUGCCAAGCAGUACGGCUGGGGUCUUAGGAAACUGGGUCCAUUUCAGGCUCCAAAUAGAAUCUCUUCCUUCAUUUUAACGUAGAACGUCCAGAGCUGCUGGCCACGAGACAGGGUGUAGCACGGGCCACGUCCUUCCAGGAUAGUCAACGAGACAACCCAAGUGCGGGGCACACAAGAGCGGCUCCAGAAACGUGAGCGGCUUCCCCAGCAACACCAGCUGUGUACGGACUGUCCCAGCGCGGCCUCGCUAUGCAGUCCCCGUCCUCCAAACAGCCAUGUCUCUGAGGACGCAGCGUGCGGCGGGGAGAGCGGACAGACAGAGCUAAAUAACCUAGGACAGGGACACCACGUCUUGAAAACCCUGAGGCGUCAGGCUUCCAUGUGAAAAAUUAACUGAGUGACUGGAAGACCAUCUCUGGAGGGGCCUUCCCUCCAACUGUGGGACGGGAACUAUGCGGUCAGGUUCCUCCACACUCCCACAGCAGCGGUGGCCGGUGAGGCUUCCAGAGACAGGGACGGGAGCAGGCUAACCUGUCCCAAGCCAGGCAAGUGCCCCGGGCGCUCAGCAAGCUUCCUGCAGUGUUCUUAAAGACGGAGACAAAAGAGCUUCUACAUAUAAACAAAUAAUCAGAAAGAUGUGAAAACACAUUCCAGAAGAAGGCAAAGGCGUACGCAUCCUAAAGAGAGGUGCCUUACCUGGACUGAUGACCACCCAGCCGCCUCGCUCCUGCUGGUGCAUCCAGGCUCUCCAGCCUCGGGCGCCCUUCUCCCCAGCCCGGGGCUCCCCGCUGUCCCAGAAGGGCUCAAAGAAUUCCACCUGUUCAGGUUCAAAAUACAGAGGCAGGUCUUUCACGCUGUCUGGCUUGAAGAAGGUGAAGUCCACCAUGGCCUGGAAGAGCGAGAUCGCCUUCUCAGAGUGACCGGCCUGCCGCAGGAAGUGACAGUGCUGAAGAAAGAGAGCUGAAAGCAGGGAGAGC
Mirounga angustirostris (Northern elephant seal) is the source of this 1191-nucleotide long non-coding RNA. RefSeq lists it as uncharacterized. The record is from RefSeq and is a predicted model, not a curated record. NCBI's taxonomy places the organism in Eukaryota, Metazoa, Chordata, Mammalia, Carnivora, Phocidae. The transcript has 3 exons.